UGUGAAAUAUCGGGGGUCAACCGCGAUCGGCCAUUGGAAACUGGGGAAUUUGAGUGCAGGAGAGGGGAGCGGAAUUCCACGUGUAGCGGCGCACCCCCUCCAGAUGUGGAGGAACACCAGUGGCGAAGGCGGCUCUCUGGCCUGUAACUGACGCUGAGGCGCGAAAGCGUGGGGAGCGAACAGGAUU
RNAcentral lists this ribosomal RNA (187 nucleotides) under uncultured bacterium. RNAcentral describes it as "partial 16S ribosomal RNA". It matches the Rfam family "Bacterial small subunit ribosomal RNA", at positions 593 to 779 of the family's 1533-position model. The record is from RNAcentral.